This 798-nucleotide long non-coding RNA is filed under the name Mustela putorius furo (domestic ferret). Its description in RNAcentral is "lncRNA (ENSMPUG00000027471.1)". Lineage: Eukaryota; Metazoa; Chordata; Mammalia; Carnivora; Mustelidae. The record is from RNAcentral.
GGUCUCUCUUCCUGUAUAUUGCCUCAGAUUCACCUCUCUGCAAGUCCUACCUUCCAGAAAGUGGUUGCCUUUCUGUUCCUAGAAUUGAUGUUAUUUUUUUUUUCUUCUAUCUCCUGUUGAGUUUGUAGGUGUUCAGAAUGGUUUGAUAACUAUCUAGCUGAACUCCUGGGAACUGAUGAUAUAUAGGUCUCCUACUCCUCUGCCAUCUUGCUCCAGUGCUCUGCUUUUUUCUCUCAGGUAUCUUAGUCUAGUGCACCAACAGUCAAACCUAUUCAAGGUCCUACUCUACUCCCCUAGAGAUCCCGACAUCAUGUCUACAAGCAUAACAAUAUGGUGGGCUUAAAUAUAUUUUAUCUGCUAUUCCUUAUUUCUUUUGUUAGCAUAUGCUGUGCUUACAGUAUGUCUAUGUGGGAAAUAGAUAACCUAAACAACUGAGCAGCACUACGGGUUAUAGAAUACAGAACUGAAUACUUAGUUGAUACCCUCCGUCAUGAACACAAGUUUCUUACCUGGACAUGGAAUUUUAAAAAGAGAAGAAAGCAAAAAGUUUUUUAAAAAACAGGGGGGUGAGGGGAAUGCACAUUAUGCACAAAGGAACUAAGAAUAUGUUUUGUUUUUUUCCAAAUAUUUGGAAAUAUUUUCACAAAUAAUUCCACCUAUGAUAAUUGUCAUGUACAUAAGAAGUUUACUUGCUUCCAGGGGAAUAGUUCAUCAAAGCUCUCUCAUUAGGAGUUCUGAGUACUAGAGGGGAGAAUCUCCACUGUGCUGACAUUUGCCCUGUAAAUUGUUAUGGCCCCG